Long non-coding RNA from Cucumis melo (muskmelon), 601 nucleotides. RefSeq lists it as uncharacterized. The transcript is spliced from 2 exons. The record is from RefSeq and is a predicted model, not a curated record. Lineage: Eukaryota; Viridiplantae; Streptophyta; Magnoliopsida; Cucurbitales; Cucurbitaceae.
UUAGUCAUUGGUGGUUGGUUCAUUCUACUGUAACUUGCCUGUUCAAGGCUCUUUGGCAUUGGCUUUCUUGAUGGAGCAAUAAAGGUGUUGUAGAAUUGCUCUUCAUCACAAUUCUCAGAGGAUAUGAUGUAUGUAUAUCUAAAAGGUAGGUGUAGGAAAUAUUUUUCAUGUAACAACCAACAGGAUGCCAUAUUUAUUAUUUAUUCACAAAGUUCAUUGUUGUUUCUAGUUUGUUGCCAUAUUUUUCAGUCAGGUUAUGGCAAGGAGGAAAUACCGCUGGCCCUGGGAGAUAUCACUAAACAAAUGACUGCAAUAGAAGAAAUGGUUGCAAGUGAGUACAAUUAGCCAGACCCUUAUCUUUGUGACAAGAUCUUGAAGAUGGUCAUUUGUGAAGCGUUCUAGUUUGCUAUUAGUUGCAAUUUUAGUUAUUGCUCUCUCAAUAUAUUCUUUUUCUUUCUUUCUUUCUUUUUUUCCAAAGGAUGAUCAAUGUAUAAUAAUUAAGCUUCAUAACUUCUUUGUAUUUGGAGCCAAGUUGUAUAUAAAUGUACACAUUAUUAAGAUUUCAUUUUGUAUAUGUACAAGUAAAAGAUUUCAUUUUUAA